GACGAACGCUGGCGGCGUGCUUAACACAUGCAAGUCGAACGGAAAGGCCCUGCUUUUGUGGGGUGCUCGAGUGGCGAACGGGUGAGUAACACGUGAGUAACCUGCCCUUGACUUUGGGAUAACUUCAGGAAACUGGGGCUAAUACCGGAUAGGAGCUACUGCUGCAUGGUGGGGGGUGGAAAGUUUCGGCGGUUGCGGAUGGACUCGCGGCUUAUCAGCUUGUUGGUGGGGUAGUGGCUUACCAAGUCUUUGACGGGUAGCCGGCCUGAGAGGGUGACCGGCCACUCUGGGUCUGACCCUCGCCCCAGACUCCUUCGGGCGGCAGCAGUGAGGCAUAUUCCCCCCCGGGCCGAGGUCUGCCGCAGCCACGCCGCCUGCCUGGUGACGGCCUUCGGGUUGUAGCCCGCCUUGCAAUGUGACGAAGCGUGAGUGGCGGUCAUGGGUAGAGAAGCCCCGGCUACCUCCGUG
Molecule: ribosomal RNA, 468 nt
Filed under: uncultured bacterium
Lineage: Bacteria
Description: partial 16S ribosomal RNA
Rfam family: Bacterial small subunit ribosomal RNA
Source: RNAcentral